RNAcentral lists this ribosomal RNA (310 nucleotides) under Nothophryne sp. PEM A11369. RNAcentral's name for it is "partial 12S ribosomal RNA". It matches the Rfam family "Bacterial small subunit ribosomal RNA", at positions 871 to 1352 of the family's 1533-position model. The record is from RNAcentral. Lineage: Eukaryota; Metazoa; Chordata; Amphibia; Anura; Pyxicephalidae.
GCCAGGGUAUUACGAGCUUAAGCUUAAAACCCAAAGGACUUGACGGUGUCCCACCCACCUAGAGGAGCCUGUUCUAUAAUCGAUACCCCCCGCUACACCUCACCAUUCCUAGCCUCUCAGCCUGUAUACCUCCGUCGUAAGCUUACCAUGUGAACGCUCUCAGUAAGCCUAAAGGUCCCUCACCCACACGUCAGGUCAAGGUGCAGCUCAUGAAAUGGGAAGCAAUGGGCUACAAUUUCUAACUUAGAACAUACGAAAGACUGCAUGAAACUCAGUCAUGAAGGCGGAUUUAGUAGUAAAAAGAAAAUAG